This 75-nucleotide ribozyme is filed under the name Crocodylus porosus (Australian saltwater crocodile). RNAcentral describes it as "Mammalian CPEB3 ribozyme (ENSCPRG00005007021.1)". It matches the Rfam family "Mammalian CPEB3 ribozyme". From Rfam's summary of the family: The mammalian CPEB3 ribozyme is a self cleaving RNA located in the second intron of the CPEB3 gene which belongs to a family of genes regulating messenger RNA polyadenylation. This ribozyme is highly conserved and found only in mammals. Lineage: Eukaryota; Metazoa; Chordata; Crocodylia; Crocodylidae. The record is from RNAcentral.
AAUUCUGUACACUGCCAACUGCAGAAGCGUUCAUGUCGCAGCCCAUCAGAUUCUAAAGAAUCUGCUAAAUUUUGA